RNAcentral lists this ribosomal RNA (265 nucleotides) under uncultured bacterium. RNAcentral describes it as "partial 16S ribosomal RNA". It matches the Rfam family "Bacterial small subunit ribosomal RNA", at positions 793 to 1055 of the family's 1533-position model. The record is from RNAcentral.
GUCCACGCCCUAAACGAUGGAUACUCGUCGUCGGAGGGUUAACCUUCGGUGACUCAGCUAACGCAUUAAGUAUCCCGCCUGGGGAGUACGGUCGCAAGAUUAAAACUCAAAGGAAUAGACGGGGACCCGCACAAGCGGUGGAGCAUGUGGUUUAAUUCGAAGAUACGCGAAAAACCUUACCUGGACUUGACAUGUAGAGAAUUCUGUAGAGAUAUAGAAGUGCUAGCUUGCUAGAACUUUAACACAGGUGCUGCACGGCUGUCGU